Non-coding RNA from Myotis lucifugus (little brown bat), 75 nucleotides. NCBI's taxonomy places the organism in Eukaryota, Metazoa, Chordata, Mammalia, Chiroptera, Vespertilionidae. The record is from Rfam.
GGCAGUUCUUGGGUGACACUCUCCAAAAUUGGGCUCCCUCCUCUCUGGUUCCAGGUGCAUCAGCCAAGAAUUGCA